Molecule: ribosomal RNA, 433 nt
Filed under: uncultured bacterium
Lineage: Bacteria
Description: partial 16S ribosomal RNA
Rfam family: Bacterial small subunit ribosomal RNA
Source: RNAcentral
AACGAACGCUGGCGGCAUGCCUAACACAUGCAAGUCGAACGAGACCUUCGGGUCUAGUGGCGCACGGGUGCGUAACGCGUGGGAACCUGCCCUUAGGUUCGGCAUAACUCCCCGAAAGGGGUGCUAAUACCGGAUAAUGUCUUCGGACCAAAGAUUUAUCGCCUUUGGAUGGGCCCGCGUUGGAUUAGCUAGUUGGUAGGGUAAAAGCCUACCAAGGCGACGAUCCAUAGCUGGUCUGAGAGGAUGAUCAGCCACACUGGGACUGAGACACGGCCCAGACUCCUACGGGAGGCAGCAGUGGGGAAUAUUGGACAAUGGGCGAAAGCCUGAUCCAGCAAUGCCGCGUGAGUGAUGAAGGCCUUAGGGUUGUAAAGCUCUUUUAACCGGGAUGAUAAUGACAGUACCGGGAGAAUAAGCGCCGGCUAACUCCGUG